This 138-nucleotide small nucleolar RNA is filed under the name Ornithorhynchus anatinus (platypus). Lineage: Eukaryota; Metazoa; Chordata; Mammalia; Monotremata; Ornithorhynchidae. The record is from RNAcentral.
CCCCUCUCAAAGUUGCACCUGGAGAGUUUCCAGUACUCUACCAGUCCUGACUAUGGGAGGGAGAGUCAAGCAGAUGCAUACCCAUUCCAUUCCUAGCUCGGGGAGUAGUUAGCGAGUGGAAGGCAAUCUGCUACAAGU